This 66-nucleotide transfer RNA is filed under the name Cleptes metallicorpus. RNAcentral describes it as "tRNA-Glu". The record is from RNAcentral. Lineage: Eukaryota; Metazoa; Arthropoda; Insecta; Hymenoptera; Chrysididae.
AUUUAUGUAGUUUAUAAAAACAUUAUAUUUUCAUUAUAAAAAUAAUAUUUAAUAUAUUCAUAAAUU